CCUUACUAUAAGUGUUGUCUAGAGGUCUGGUGCCAGAAGACUCGGUAAGACCAGAAACGCAAACGUUAGUCAUCUUAAUCAGGCGUAAAGGGUAUGUAGGCAGCUUUGAAAAUUUUAAUUUUAUACAAAGGCUCUAUUUAAAUUAAAAAAAAAAUAGUGAAAAUAAAAUAAAUUAAAGCUAGAAUCAAAUAGAGGAAAAACCAAAUAAUACUUAGAGUAGGGAUGAUAUCCAAAGAUACUAAGUAGAAUA
RNAcentral lists this ribosomal RNA (250 nucleotides) under Pleurotus cornucopiae (cornucopia mushroom). Its description in RNAcentral is "partial small subunit ribosomal RNA". It matches the Rfam family "Bacterial small subunit ribosomal RNA", at positions 479 to 708 of the family's 1533-position model. Lineage: Eukaryota; Fungi; Basidiomycota; Agaricomycetes; Agaricales; Pleurotaceae. The record is from RNAcentral.